GGGGGAUCUUCCGCAAUGGGCGCAAGCCUGACGGAGCAACGCCGCGUGAGUGAAGAAGGUCUUCGGAUCGUAAAGCUCUGUUGACGGGGACGAACGUGCGAGAGGUGAAUAAACUCUUGCAAUGACGGUACCUGUCGAGGAAGCCACGGCUAACUACGUGCCAGCAGCCGCGGUAAUACGUAGGUGGCGAGCGUUGUCCGGAAUCAUUGGGCGUAAAGGGAGCGCAGGCGGGCAUGUAGGUCUUUCUUAAAAGUUCGGGGCUCAACCCCGUGAUGGGAAAGAAACUAUAUGUCUUGAGUACAGGAGAGGAAAGCGGAAUUCCCAGUGUAGCGGUGAAAUGCGUAGAUAUUGGGAGGAACACCAGUGGCGAAGGCGGCUUUCUGGACUGCAACUGACGCUGAGGCUCGAAAGCCAGGGGAGCGAACGGGAUUAGAUACCCCGGUAGUCCUGGCCGUAAACGAUGGAUACUAGGUGUGGGAGGUAUCGACCCCUACCGUGCCGGAGUUAACGCAAUAAGUAUCCCGCCUGGGGAGUACGGUCGCAAGACUG
RNAcentral lists this ribosomal RNA (549 nucleotides) under uncultured bacterium. RNAcentral describes it as "bacterial SSU rRNA". It matches the Rfam family "Bacterial small subunit ribosomal RNA", at positions 356 to 896 of the family's 1533-position model. The record is from RNAcentral.